AACGAACGCUGGCGGCAGGCCUAAUACAUGCAAGUCGAACGCACCGCAAGGUGAGUGGCAGACGGGUGAGUAACGCGUGGGAACCUUCCUAGUAGUACGGAAUAACUCCGGGAAACCGGUGCUAAUACCGUAUAAGCCCUCCGGGGGAAAGAUUUAUCGCUACUAGAUGGGCCCGCGUCGGAUUAGCUUGUUGGUGAGGUAAUGGCUCACCAAGGCUUCGAUCCGUAGCUGGUCUGAGAGGAUGAUCAGCCACACUGGGACUGAGACACGGCCCAGACUCCUACGGGAGGCAGCAGUAGGGAAUAUUGGACAAUGGGCGAAAGCCUGAUCCAGCCAUGCCGCGUGAGUGAAGAAGGCCUUAGGGUUGUAAAGCUUCUUUUGGCGGGAAGAUAAUGACGGUACCCGCAGAAUAAGCUCCGGCUAACUUCGUGCCAGCAGCCGCUGUAAGU
Molecule: ribosomal RNA, 449 nt
Filed under: uncultured bacterium
Lineage: Bacteria
Description: bacterial SSU rRNA
Rfam family: Bacterial small subunit ribosomal RNA
Source: RNAcentral